Long non-coding RNA from Saccostrea cuccullata (small rock oyster), 258 nucleotides. RefSeq lists it as uncharacterized. The record is from RefSeq and is a predicted model, not a curated record. The transcript has 3 exons. Lineage: Eukaryota; Metazoa; Mollusca; Bivalvia; Ostreida; Ostreidae.
CGCCUCGGCGUCAACAUCGUUUCACUUACCUUCUGGGUUUUAUUGGUUUCCAUGGGAAAUGUUUAAGCAGGUGGAUCAAUGGCAACCAAAUCUAAUCAACUCCUGGGAUAGAGUAACACAAGACACGCCGAUCGCAAACCUUUUACAAACAAUGAUCUUCUACGAUGAUCAAGGAAGACCCCAUAAGCCUCUUGGAAUAAACCCGGCUGCAAAAGAAAGCGUCAAAGUAGCUGCUGCAGAUCACCAUUAUAUACCACA